UGAGGAAUAUUGCGCAAUGGGCGAAAGCCAGACGCAGCAACGCCGCGUGGACGAAGAAGGCCUUCGGGUCGUAAAGUCCUUUUCAGGGAGACGAGAGAGGACGUAUACCCUGGAAUAAGUCACGGCUAACUACGUG
RNAcentral lists this ribosomal RNA (136 nucleotides) under uncultured bacterium. RNAcentral's name for it is "partial 16S rRNA". It matches the Rfam family "Bacterial small subunit ribosomal RNA", at positions 355 to 507 of the family's 1533-position model. The record is from RNAcentral.